GUUCAUCACUUUUUAUAUAAAUAGAGCAGUAAAUGAUGGCGUAAAAAUUGAACAAAUUUGAAAUUAUAAUAAAAAGAGGAGAAAGAUUGAGAUAGAGCUUUUAGUAUUUUCUUUUCAACACACUCUUCAUCUUUGCAAAACUAUCUUUCACAUAUCCUCCCAAAUAUAGUAUAGAAUCAAUAGCAGAAUAUGUUUGACCUCUAAAAUAUAGAGAUGUCUCAUAACAU
This 227-nucleotide long non-coding RNA is filed under the name Ananas comosus (pineapple). RNAcentral's name for it is "long non-coding RNA (ACOM_LNC037860)". Lineage: Eukaryota; Viridiplantae; Streptophyta; Magnoliopsida; Poales; Bromeliaceae. The record is from RNAcentral.